Molecule: ribosomal RNA, 864 nt
Filed under: uncultured Alphaproteobacteria bacterium
Lineage: Bacteria; Pseudomonadati; Pseudomonadota; Alphaproteobacteria
Description: bacterial SSU rRNA
Rfam family: Bacterial small subunit ribosomal RNA
Source: RNAcentral
AGAGUUUGAUCCUGGCUCAGAACGAACGCUGGCGGCAGGCUUAACACAUGCAAGUCGAACGACAUAGUGGCAGACGGGUGAGUAACGCGUGGGAACGUGCCUUUCACUACGGAAUAGCUCUUGGAAACGAGUGGUAAUACCGUAUACGCCCUCCGGGGGAAAGAUUUAUCGGUGAAAGAUCGGCCCGCGUUAGAUUAGUUUGUUGGUGGGGUAAUGGCCUACCAAGACUACGAUCUAUAGCUGGUCUGAGAGGACGAUCAGCCACACUGGGACUGAGACACGGCCCAGACUCCUACGGGAGGCAGCAGUGGGGAAUCUUGCACAAUGGGCGAAAGCCUGAUGCAGCCAUGCCGCGUGAAUGAUGAAGGCCUUAGGGUUGUAAAAUUCUUUCGCUAGGGAUGAUAAUGACAGUACCUAGUAAAGAAGCCCCGGCUAACUUCGUGCCAGCAGCCGCGGUAAUACGAAGGGGGCUAGCGUUGUUCGGAAUUACUGGGCGUAAAGCGCGCGUAGGCGGGCUAUUAAGCCAGAUGUGAAAGCCCGGAGCUCAACUCCGGAACUGCAUUUGGAACUGGUAGCCUAGAGACCAGGAGAGGUUAGCGGAAUACCGAGUGUAGAGGUGAAAUUCGUAGAUAUUCGGUGGAACACCAGUGGCGAAGGCGGCUAACUGGACUGGUACUGACGCUGAGGCGCGAAAGUGUGGGGAGCAAACAGGAUUAGAUACCCUGGUAGUCCACACCGUAAACGAUGAAUGCUAGUUGUCUGCGCGCAUGCGUGCAGGUGACGCAGCUAACGCAUUAAGCAUUCCGCCUGGGGAGUACGGCCGCAAGGUUAAAACUCAAAGAAAUUGACGGGGGCCCGCACAAG